Molecule: long non-coding RNA, 595 nt
Organism: Piliocolobus tephrosceles (Ugandan red Colobus)
Lineage: Eukaryota; Metazoa; Chordata; Mammalia; Primates; Cercopithecidae
Exons: 4
Source: RefSeq, a predicted model, not a curated record
GGGUGAGAGGGCCGGCCUGGACCCGGCGGGCGGAGGGCUCCGAGCCCAGCGCAGCCGAGCCGGUCCGCAGAGGGGCCCCCAGAACUUUGUGUGUGUGUGCACGCGCGUGUGUGUGUGCCCAGGUGCGAGGGUGCGCGCGUGUGCUGGCGGGGAGGGAACCGACCCGAAAGAGAGCCCCGGGCUGGCAAAGUGGCUCGCCCAUCUCACAGCCGGUUGGCGCUCGCGGAGGAGACAUGUACUGCCUGGACCGCCUGGCUGAUUUGAGCUAGUUUGUCUGGUUGAGUUGGAUGUUUAAAUAGAAGGCAGAACAACAACAGAAGCUUUGAGGAAGAGCCAUAACUACCUGGAGCAGAAUGAUUAUUUGGAGCCACAGAAAAUCAUUUUAGGGAGCAGUGGGUCCAGGUUCAGUGUUGUGUGUUCAACUCUGAAAGAACACAGUUGGGUGACUGACUGGGUUACUUCUCCCCUGUGGCUCUGCUUGCAUUGGUUAUUCUGAGGUCAGGCAGGGAUUUGGCCACAGUGUUAGCCACUGGCCCUGCAUUGAUCCUCACGUAUUAACAUCUUGUUUGGUUAUUAAAGUGGCUGAAUUGUUGGA